Scatophagus argus is the source of this 1496-nucleotide long non-coding RNA. RefSeq lists it as uncharacterized. The transcript has 2 exons. The record is from RefSeq and is a predicted model, not a curated record. NCBI's taxonomy places the organism in Eukaryota, Metazoa, Chordata, Actinopteri, Scatophagidae.
ACACAUUUUAUUUAACGCAUUGUGGGAUUAAAACACAAAUUAAAGGAGCAACAGAAACAACAGAAAAGUUAGUCAUCACCACUUCAUGACCACUAAUAGCAACCAUACAGUACAUGUUCACAGUAAUUACCUUCCACACAGUGUCUGAUUGUCUUUGCUUGGGCGAUUGGGGCUCAGAUGUUUAUUGUUCACCAUCACCUGCAGUUAGAUGCCAAUUAGAUACCAUCAAUGUGUUUGUACUUAGUAAAGUCCAGCUUUUGGGACUGACUCAGUGGACUCCACAGAGAGGAAAGGACAUAAUCAUGAGUGCUCAUCUGUUAUUGUGGACAAGAUGAUCUACAACACCUUUGAACCAAGCAGUUAUUCCUGCCACGUUAUGGCUGGAAAGACCUGCCUGCACAGACGCUCUCCGGAAGUGAAGGAUAACGUCUCCGUCCCACUGUCCAACACCGGUUAUCAACCUAAUAACCCCAGUGACUCAACCACACAGAGAUCCACAACAUGGAUCUUCGUAGAAUAACAACAAACAGCAGCUUGGAGGAGGUGACAGCAAAACAACCUGAGAUUCUAAGGAAACAGGAAACCUGGAAACCUGCAGUCUUUGCAGAUAAACUAUCAAGAUGAUCGUGUGCUACACCAACAAGUAAAAACUCCAAACAACUUCUCUGAAGUCUUGAACAUUUCUCAUUCAAAAACUUGGAUGAUAAGGAACAGUCUGAAGAUCCCUUCACAUCCACAUAUUCCACAAAAAUAUGUCACUGUCUGGAUAAGACAUUAAAGAAGUUCAACUGGCUAUAGUGGAAGAUUCUGGGACUACAAAGACUAGAAGACAGAUACUGUUGUACAGAUAAGACAUUCAAACUGUGACACAACACUAAAUGCAAAGCAUGCCUCUUAUUUUUGAGAAAACAAACCAGUACAACCGUGAAAUAAACCCUUGCCUGUUUGUUUCAAAUGUCAUAACUUGAUGAGCACCGGACAAUGUAUUUGUACUUCACUGUGGACGCUGUACAGUGUCAGACAGACAAUAUGACACAGAAACAGCAUGAUGAUCAGCAGGAGGAGGAGCAAUGUUAAAUGUUGACAUGCCACCACUGUAAAACUAUAGUAUCUCAGCAGUACUGCAUUGUGUGUACCUCACUUGACGUGCAUGGCUACUAGCAUAUUUCUCUCUUUUCUUCAACUGUCCUCCUCGAUGGAGUAAACUGUUUGCAUCCUCACAAAUACCUCUCGGUCAUUUGCACUUGGUAAAAUACGUUAAACUCUUUUUUGAAUUAAUAUAUGUGUUUAUAUGUGCUUUAGAUUGUUUAUUUUUUCUCUAUCUCUAUCUCUCUAGCUUUAAGUUUUAUUUGAGGAAUUUCUUUCUUUCUGUAUUUUCAGUCAUGUCAUGAAUCAUGAACUUCCUAAUCUUCAAAGGACAUUUUGUAAAGGUGGACCUUUCUACCGUAUGACAUUUGGUCUUCUGUAAUAUAUCUCAUUAAAUGAAUAAGAACGUU